ACGUAGGAGGCGAGCGUUAUCCGGAUUUACUGGGCGUAAAGCGUGCGCAGGCGGCUAUGCAAGACAGGUGUGAAAUCCCCGGGCUUAACCUGGGAACUGCACUUGUGACUGCAUGGCUAGAGUGCGUCAGAGGGAGGUGGAAUUCCGCGUGUAGCAGUGAAAUGCGUAGAGAUGCGGAGGAACACCGAUGGCGAAGGCAGCCUCCUGGGAUGACACUGACGCUCAUGCACGAAAGCGUGGGGAGCAAACAG
Molecule: ribosomal RNA, 251 nt
Filed under: uncultured prokaryote
Description: partial 16S ribosomal RNA
Rfam family: Bacterial small subunit ribosomal RNA
Source: RNAcentral